Molecule: long non-coding RNA, 305 nt
Filed under: Mytilus galloprovincialis (Mediterranean mussel)
Lineage: Eukaryota; Metazoa; Mollusca; Bivalvia; Mytilida; Mytilidae
Source: RNAcentral
AAACAGAAAGUUAUUAUUGAUUUCAAUACUUUCGACAUUUUUAAAGUGUAUAAAACUGUCUAUGCAAUCAAAUUUUAUCCAAAUUUAGAUGGUUUUGUCCAUAUAAAUAAUGAAGAACAUAUACAGAUGAUACAUGAUACAUUUGAUGCCAUUCUGUCUCGCAUGCGACGAGAGUCGCAGAAAGCGAGACAUAUAGAUAACAAUCUUGCGGCGACUUCGUAAACUUUUUUGUAUGAAAUGUUUCCGUCUGUCAUAUAUCAAUUUUCCUAGUAUCUUCUUUUUUAUUAGUCAGCCACUGUUGAAAG